Molecule: ribosomal RNA, 1500 nt
Filed under: metagenome
Description: bacterial LSU rRNA
Rfam family: Bacterial large subunit ribosomal RNA
Source: RNAcentral
CCUAAAUACUACCCAGUGACCGAUAGCGGAUAGUACUGUGAAGGAACGGUGAAAAGCACCCCGGGAGGGGAGUGAAACAGAACCUGAAACCUUGUGUUUACAAGCACCGAAAGGACGUCAAGGUCCGAUCGGGUACUUUUUGUAGAACGGUCCGGCGAGCGUAUGUAACGAGCGAGGUUAAGGACUUCAGGUCUGAAGCCGAAGCGAGAGCGAGUCUGAACAGGGCGCACAGUUCGUUGCAUAGGGCCCGAAACCGGGUGACCUAUCCAUGUCCAGGUUGAAGUGGAGGUAAAACUCCAUGGAGGACCGAACCGACCUCCGUUGAAAAGGCGGCGGAUGAGGUGUGGAUAGCGGAGAAAUUCCAAUCGAACCCGGAUAUAGCUGGUUCUCCCCGAAAUAGCUUUAGGGCUAGCCUCGCAUAUAUUUACCGGAGGUAAAGCACUGAAUAGGUGAGGGGUCGAGAGAUUACCAACCCUUAUCAAACUAAGAAUGCCGGAUAAAUGAGUGCGGGAGUCAGACUGUGUGAGAUAAGUCUCACGGUCAAAAGGGAAACAGCCCAGACCCACAGCUAAGGUCCCCAAUAUAUGCUAAGUGGAGAAGGAUGUGGCAAUGCAAAGACAACCAGGACGUUGGCUUAGAAGCAGCCACUCAUUCAAAGAGUGCGUAAUAGCUCACUGGUCGAGUGAUGCUGCGCCGAAGAUUUAACGGGGCUAAAGCAUAUAACCGAAGCUUGGGAAUCUCUAGGGAUUGGUAGGGGAGCGUCGAAUUAGGGGUGAAGCAUCAGCGGAAGCAGAUGUGGACUUAAUUCGAGUGAGAAUGCCGGAAUGAGUAGCGAGAAUUGCGUGAGAAUCGUAAUGGCCGAAAAUCUAAGGUUUCCGUGGGAAGGUUCGUCCGCCACGGGUAAGCCGGGGGCUAAGGCGAGGCCGAAAGGCGUAGUCGAUGCACAUACGGUAGAUAUUCCGUAGCCGUCUAAGUUUAAGCACACUGACAUGUAUCCGGACUGUGACCCGAGCGUUGGUAGACUCGGGCGAAAGGGACUGAAAAAUAGUAGGGAAGCACAGGAAAGAUAUAGCGAGAAAAGGUGUGAGGAAUACGAAAGGCGCCCGUACCGCAAACCGACACAGGUAGAUGAGGAGAGAAUCCUAAGGCCAACGGGAGAAGGGUUGUUAAGGAACUCGGCAUAUUAACCCCGUAACUUCGGAAUAAGGGGUGCCACUGAAAGGUGGUCGCAGUGAAAAGGCCCAGGCGACUGUUUAUCAAAAACACAGGUCUCUGCAAAACCGAAAGGUGAAGUAUAGGGGCUGACGCCUGCCCGGUGCUGGAAGGUCAAGGGGAAUGCUUAGCGCAAGCGAAGGCAUGAACUUAAGCCCCGGUAAACGGCGGCCGUAACUAUAACGGUCCUAAGGUAGCGAAAUUCCUUGUCAGGUAAGUUCUGGCCUGCACGAAUGGCGUAACGAUCUGGGCACUGUCUCAACAGCCUACCCGGCGAAAUUGUAGUAC